Molecule: ribosomal RNA, 463 nt
Filed under: uncultured bacterium
Lineage: Bacteria
Description: partial 16S ribosomal RNA
Rfam family: Bacterial small subunit ribosomal RNA
Source: RNAcentral
AAUCAACGCUGGCGGCGUGCCUUACACAUGCAAGUCGCACGAGAAAGGGACUUCGGAUCUGAAUAAAGUGGCGUACGGGUGAGUAACACGUGAAUUAUCUACCUUCGAGAGGGGAAUAACUUCGGGAAACCGAGCCUAAUACAGCAGAAUAUCGACGGACCAAAGCAGUAAUGCGCUUGAAGAGGAGUUCGCGGCAGAUUAGUUAGUUGGCGGGGUAAUGGCCCACCAAGACGAUGAUCUGUAUCCGGCCUGAGAGGGCGCACGGACACACUGGAACUGAAACACGGUCCAGACUCCUACGGGAGGCAGCAGUGGGGAAUUUUGCGCAAUGGGGGAAACCCUGACGCAGCAACGCCGCGUGGAGGAUGAAGUCUCUUGGGACGUAAACUCCUUUCGAUAGGGAAGAUUAUGACGGUACCUAUAGAAGAAGCCCCGGCUAACUUCGUGCCAGCAGCCGCAGUAA